Molecule: ribosomal RNA, 346 nt
Filed under: uncultured bacterium
Lineage: Bacteria
Description: bacterial SSU rRNA
Rfam family: Bacterial small subunit ribosomal RNA
Source: RNAcentral
AGAGUUUGAUCAUGGCUCAGGAUGAACGCUAGCUACAGGCUUAACACAUGCAAGUCGAGGGGCAGCAUGUUGGUUGCUUGCAACCAAUGAUGGCGACCGGCGCACGGGUGAGUAACGCGUAUCCAACCUACCCUUGUCCAUCGGAUAACCCGUCGAAAGGCGGCCUAACACGAUAUGCGGUUCACAGCAGGCAUCUAAGGUGAACGAAAUGUGAAGGAGAAGGAUGGGGAUGCGUCUGAUUAGCUUGUUGGCGGGGUAACGGCCACAAGGCUACGAUCAGUAGGGGUUCUGAGAGGAAGUCCCCCAAGUUGGAACUGAGACACGGUCCAAACUCCGUACGGGAGCA